This is a non-coding RNA of 102 nucleotides. It matches the Rfam family "Purine riboswitch aptamer". From Rfam's summary of the family: Riboswitches are metabolite binding domains within certain messenger RNAs that serve as precision sensors for their corresponding targets.
UGAACAGAAAGAUGUAACCUUCGUAUAUCCCUGGGAAUAAGGCCCAGAAGUCUCUACCGGAUCACCGUAAAUGAUCUGACUAUGAAGGCAGACACUCCUAGU